This 253-nucleotide ribosomal RNA is filed under the name uncultured bacterium. RNAcentral describes it as "partial 16S ribosomal RNA". It matches the Rfam family "Bacterial small subunit ribosomal RNA", at positions 524 to 776 of the family's 1533-position model. The record is from RNAcentral.
UACGAAGGGGGCUAGCGUUGUUCGGAUUUACUGGGCGUAAAGCGCACGUAGACGGACUAUUAAGUCAGGGGUGAAAUCCCGGGGCUCAACCCCGGAACUGCCUUUGAUACUGGUAGUCUUGAGUUCGAGAGAGGUGAGUGGAAUUCCGAGUGUAGAGGUGAAAUUCGUAGAUAUUCGGAGGAACACCAGUGGCGAAGGCGGCUCACUGGCUCGAUACUGACGCUGAGGUGCGAAAGCGUGGGGAGCAAACAGG